RNAcentral lists this non-coding RNA (175 nucleotides) under Sphaerotilus natans. RNAcentral describes it as "FMN sequence". It matches the Rfam family "FMN riboswitch aptamer (RFN element)". From Rfam's summary of the family: The RFN element is a highly conserved domain that is found frequently in the 5'-untranslated regions of prokaryotic mRNAs that encode for flavin mononucleotide (FMN) biosynthesis and transport proteins. This element is a metabolite-dependent riboswitch that directly binds FMN in the absence of proteins. In Bacillus subtilis, the riboswitch most likely controls gene expression by causing premature transcription termination within the 5' untranslated region of the ribDEAHT operon and precluding access to the ribosome-binding site of ypaA mRNA. Lineage: Bacteria; Pseudomonadati; Pseudomonadota; Betaproteobacteria; Burkholderiales; Sphaerotilaceae. The record is from RNAcentral.
CUGCGUUCUCAGGGCGGGGUGGAAGUCCCCACCGGCGGUAAGCGGUCGACGCGGUCCUUCGUGACAGCCUGGCCGCAAGCCCGCGAGCGCCCGGCCACCGUCACGGCGGCCGGGGUCAGCAGAUCCGGUGCGAUUCCGGGGCCGACGGUCACAGUCCGGAUGAAAGAGAACCGCG